CGCCGAAAGAUGAGCCCGCACUUGAUUAGCUAGUUGGUAAGGUAAAAGCUUACCAAGGCAACGAUCAAUAGCUGUACUUAGAGGAAGACCAGCCACAUUGGGACUGAGACACGGCCCAGACUCCUACGGGAGGCAGCAGUGGGGAAUCUUGCACAAUGGGGGAAACCCUGAUGCAGCGAUGCCGCGUGAGUGAAGAAGGCCCUUGGGUUGUAAAACUCUUUCGUCGGGGAAGAAAAUGACUGUACCCGAG
This 250-nucleotide ribosomal RNA is filed under the name uncultured bacterium KC326. RNAcentral describes it as "partial 16S rRNA". It matches the Rfam family "Bacterial small subunit ribosomal RNA", at positions 216 to 483 of the family's 1533-position model. Lineage: Bacteria; Pseudomonadati; Pseudomonadota; Alphaproteobacteria. The record is from RNAcentral.